RNAcentral lists this ribosomal RNA (408 nucleotides) under uncultured eukaryote. RNAcentral describes it as "SSU rRNA". It matches the Rfam family "Eukaryotic small subunit ribosomal RNA", at positions 570 to 990 of the family's 1831-position model. The record is from RNAcentral.
GCAGCUGCGGUAAUUCCAGCUCCAAUAGCGUAUAUUAAAGUUGUUGCAGUUAAAAAGCUCGUAGUUGGGUUUCUGGGAGGGUGCCGAUGUCCACUUAACGUGUGCGCAGCGGCGCCCUCUCAUCCUUCUGUUAGCGUCUCUUGGCAUUCAUUUGCUGGUGGCGGGCUCAGAUAUUUUACCUUGAGAAAAUUAGAGUGUUUCAGGCAGGCUAGGCCGGAAUACAUUAGCAUGGAAUAAUGGAAUAGGACUACGGUCUCUUUGUUGGUUUGAGGGACUGCAGUAAUGAUUAAUAGGGAUAGUUGGGGGCAUUAGUACUUAACUGUCAGAGGUGGAAUUCUCAGAUUUGUUAAAGACUGACUUAUGCGAAAGCAUUUGCCAAGGACGUUUUCAUUAAUCAAGAACGAAAGU